Molecule: ribosomal RNA, 800 nt
Filed under: uncultured bacterium
Lineage: Bacteria
Description: bacterial SSU rRNA
Rfam family: Bacterial small subunit ribosomal RNA
Source: RNAcentral
AGAGUUUGAUCCUGGCUCAGAACGAACGCUGGCGGCAUGCCUAACACAUGCAAGUCGAACGAAGCCUUCGGGCUUAGUGGCGCACGGGUGCGUAACGCGUGGGAAUCCGCCCCUUGGUUCGGAACAACAGUUAGAAAUGACUGCUAAUACCGGAUAACGACGAAAGUCCAAAGAUUUAUCGCCGAGGGAUGAGCCCGCGUAAGAUUAGGUAGUUGGUGGGGUAAUGGCCUACCAAGCCGACGAUCUUUAGCUGGUCUGAGAGGAUGAUCAGCCACACUGGGACUGAGACACGGCCCAGACUCCUACGGGAGGCAGCAGUGGGGAAUAUUGGACAAUGGGCGAAAGCCUGAUCCAGCAAUGCCGCGUGAGUGAUGAAGGCCUUAGGGUUGUAAAGCUCUUUUACCAGGGAUGAUAAUGACAGUACCUGGAGAAUAAGCUCCGGCUAACUCCGUGCCAGCAGCCGCGGUAAUACGGAGGGAGCUAGCGUUGUUCGGAAUUACUGGGCGUAAAGCGUACGUAGGCGGUUACUCAAGUCAGAGGUGAAAGCCCGGGGCUCAACCCCGGAACUGCCUUUGAAACUAGGUAGCUAGAAUCUUGGAGAGGUCAGUGGAAUUCCGAGUGUAGAGGUGAAAUUCGUAGAUAUUCGGAAGAACACCAGUGGCGAAGGCGACUGACUGGACAAGUAUUGACGCUGAGGUACGAAAGCGUGGGGAGCAAGCAGGAUUAGAUACCCUGGUAGUCCACGCCGUAAACGAUGAUAACUAGCUGUCCGGGCACUUGGUGCUUGGGUGGCGCAGCUA